This 56-nucleotide transfer RNA is filed under the name Caenorhabditis briggsae. RNAcentral's name for it is "tRNA-Gln". Lineage: Eukaryota; Metazoa; Nematoda; Chromadorea; Rhabditida; Rhabditidae. The record is from RNAcentral.
UGUGACUUAGUUUAGAAAAAAAUAUUUGUUUUUGGUGCAAAAGAGUUUAGUUACAU